UUCCAUGCCCUGGUCCACAGUUCACAUUGUGAAUGUAUACAUUUGAGCAUCCUGUUUGUAUGGAAACACAGUCAUCCCCUGCAACAAUUAUUAGAUUUUUUAGAGCUCAGGUUAGCGUAAACACAAAAAUAGAUACCUUUUAUGUUCUUUUUAAGCAUUUGUCGGAAGCAUUAGAUCUAUGAGGGCCUCUUAUUAUCUUAUUAAUUAAUGAGAACCUGUUUUUAAGUAGAAGUAGACAAGAUGCUAGGGGAUCAAAACAAAAAGUUCUAGCUGUUAGUAAAGACAAGACAUGGAAAACUUGAGUGAA
This is a long non-coding RNA of Hibiscus syriacus, 307 nucleotides long. RefSeq lists it as uncharacterized. The transcript has 2 exons. Lineage: Eukaryota; Viridiplantae; Streptophyta; Magnoliopsida; Malvales; Malvaceae. The record is from RefSeq and is a predicted model, not a curated record.